CGGAGGGAUCAUUACACAAAUAUGAAGGCGGGCUGGAACCUCUCGGGGUUACAGCCUUGCUGAAUUAUUCACCCUUGUCUUUUGCGUACUUCUUGUUUCCUUGGUGGGUUCGCCCACCACUAGGACAAACAUAAACCUUUUGUAAUUGCAAUCAGCGUCAGUAACAAAUUAAUAAUUACAACUUUCAACAACGGAUCUCUUGGUUCUGGCAUCGAUGAAGAACGCAGCGAAAUGCGAUAAGUAGUGUGAAUUGCAGAAUUCAGUGAAUCAUCGAAUCUUUGAACGCACAUUGCGCCCUUUGGUAUUCCAAAGGGCAUGCCUGUUCGAGCGUCAUUUGUACCCUCAAGCUUUGCUUGGUGUUGGGCGUCUUGUCUCUAGCUUUGCUGGAGACUCGCCUUAAAGUAAUUGGCAGCCGGCCUACUGGUUUCGGAGCGCAGCACAAGUCGCACUCUCUAUCAGCAAAGGUCUAGCAUCCAUUAAGCCUUUUUUUCAACUUUGACCUCGGAUCAGGAG
RNAcentral lists this ribosomal RNA (513 nucleotides) under Alternaria sp. EN3. RNAcentral's name for it is "eukaryotic LSU rRNA". The stretch from base 180 to 333 matches the Rfam family "5.8S ribosomal RNA". Lineage: Eukaryota; Fungi; Ascomycota; Dothideomycetes; Pleosporales; Pleosporaceae. The record is from RNAcentral.